GGGGAAUCUUGCGCAAUGGCCGAAAGGCUGACGCAGCGACGCCGCGUGCGGGAGGAAGCCCUUCGGGGUGUAAACCGCUGUCAGGAGGGACGAAAGCCACCGGGAGGGAAUGCCUGGUGGAAGGACGGUACCUCCAGAGAAAGCACCGGCUAACUCCGUGCCAGCAGCCGCGGUAAUACGGAGGGUGCGAGCGUUGUUCGGAAUUACUGGGCGUAAAGCGUGCGCAGGCGGUUUUGUAAGUCUGACGUGAAAUCCCCGGGCUCAACCUGGGAAUUGCGUUGGAGACUGCAAGGCUAGAAUCUGGCAGAGGGGGGUAGAAUUCCACGUGUAGCAGUGAAAUGCGUAGAGAUGUGGAGGAACACCGAUGGCGAAGGCAGCCCCCUGGGUCAAGAUUGACGCUCAUGCACGAAAGCGUGGGGAGCAAA
RNAcentral lists this ribosomal RNA (425 nucleotides) under uncultured bacterium. RNAcentral's name for it is "bacterial SSU rRNA". It matches the Rfam family "Bacterial small subunit ribosomal RNA", at positions 356 to 772 of the family's 1533-position model. The record is from RNAcentral.